RNAcentral lists this ribosomal RNA (311 nucleotides) under Migas sp. CG247. RNAcentral's name for it is "partial 12S ribosomal RNA". The record is from RNAcentral. Lineage: Eukaryota; Metazoa; Arthropoda; Arachnida; Araneae; Migidae.
AGGUAAUACUUCUUAAGAAACCUUUAUUCUUUGGCAGCCCGUUAUCUCCUCAGAGGAACUCGUUGGAUAAUCGACUUUACUCGCUCAAUUUCACUAAUUUUAAUGUUUUUAUACCGUCGUCUUAAGAAUAUUUUUAUAUUCUCCUUUCUAAAUAGUUUUCUAAUAAGUCAGAUCAAGGUGAAACCCAUAAAUUUGCACCUUAUAAGUUACUCAUUAAAAUUAUUAAAGAAUUUUGUAUAAAAAUAUAAAUGAAAAAGGAUUUGAAAGUAAUUUUUUAUUAUAAUUGAAAAAUGAAAUAGCAAAACAGGUGU